UGUGAAAUCUCAAUGAAACCACAUUAAACCAUCUUAAACCUGUCACUGCUGAAGCGUUUGCAUAGAGAGAGUGUUUUACAUGAGCGACACACGCUUCAGUGCUCUGCAUGUGUUUAUAACUCUGUCAAACAUCAAACAUGAUCAACAACUGUUUUUCACUAGAACUGAACCUACAACCAACAAAAAUGACUUUCAGCACCAUAUUGAUCUGGACGCUGGCAGUAUUAUGUCGAGAAUCUGUUGGUCAGGUGACAGUGACUCAAACUCCCUCAGAGCUGCUCUCUCAAACUGGACAAUCAGUCACUGUGACCUGUAAAACUAGCAGUGAUCCAUACUGCUGUUAUGGAGAUGGGAAAGGAAAACCUCUUCUUAGCUGGUACUUACAGAAACCUGGAGAAGCUCCUAAACUCCUGAUUUAUUAUACAAUCAAACUCCAUUCAGGAACUCCAUCUAGAUUCAGUGGCAGUGGAUCUAACAGUGAUUUCACUCUGACCAUCAGUGGAGUCCAGACUGAAGAUGCUGGACAUUAUUACUGUCAGAGUUACCACUGGAUCAACAGUAAAGAUGUGUUCACACAGUGAUAAAGAGUCGUACAAAAACCUCCGUCAGUCAGAGUCACAGUGACUGAACUGAUACUGCAGCUGCUCACACACUUUCACACACUACUGACACACAGAGGACAAACACAGGAACUACACAUGUGCUCAAAACUGACUUA
Molecule: non-coding RNA, 718 nt
Organism: Megalobrama amblycephala (Wuchang bream)
Lineage: Eukaryota; Metazoa; Chordata; Actinopteri; Cypriniformes; Xenocyprididae
Source: the annotation of a RefSeq genome assembly